RNAcentral lists this long non-coding RNA (694 nucleotides) under Carassius auratus (goldfish). RNAcentral describes it as "lncRNA (ENSCARG00000005531.1)". The record is from RNAcentral. Lineage: Eukaryota; Metazoa; Chordata; Actinopteri; Cypriniformes; Cyprinidae.
AAUCAAGCAGAGUACUCGUGGGGAGAGGUGUUUCCCUCCAGCAACGAAUCCAAAGAACAAGUGGAGCCCAACUCACCUGUGCACCGGGUAGACAAGCUCUACCUGGACCCCGAAAACAAUCUGAGCACAUUAGAGGACACUCCAUUAGAAGAUGAGGAGGAGGAUGAGGAGCAGAGGAGAACAAUGGCGGCGCUGCAGUCUGAGCUGCUGAAAUAUCUCACCGACGAAACUCUCCGUCCACCUGCCGCUGUCCUCCUUGAUGAUACCAGUCCGUCCAAAGAGCAAAAGGAAAGUGUGACUGGGAAUGGAAGCCAUCUGUGUUGCUAAGGAACAGCUUUAUCUCUGUGUUUGGUGAAGGAAUAUGAGUGUAUUUAUCAGUGUGUUGUUUUUUUUACCUUUCAUGGAGUUUUUAAAACAUUGAAUUCUGAGAUGUCGAAUGUGCUUGUUGUUUGUUACUGUUAAUACUGUGGUGUUGAGCACCAGGAUUGUCCUGUUAAAACAUAUGGCACAUGCACUAGACCUGGAAUGAGGGUCACCUGAGCUUCAAGAUCCUUGUUAUUAGGCCUUCAAAGCUUUAAAAGAGUUUUAGGUUGAUGAACCUUUUAAGUUAUAAGUAUUUUAAUAAUUUUUUACGUUUAAUUUAUAUUAUAUGUAUCUAUACUAUGAAUAAAUUGUUAUUGUAUAAUUUCAGUUU